AUAUUGGUCAAUGGACGCGAGUCUGAACCAGCCAAGUAGCGUGAAGGAUGACUGCCCUAUGGGUUGUAAACUUCUUUUAUAUGGGAAUAAAGUUUUCCACGUGUGGAAUUUUGUAUGUACCAUAUGAAUAAGGAUCGGCUAACUCCGUGCCAGCAGCCGCGGUAAUACGGAGGAUCCGAGCGUUAUCCGGAUUUAUUGGGUUUAAAGGGAGCGUAGGCGGGUUGUUAAGUCAGUUGUGAAAGUUUGCGGCUCAACCGUAAAAUUGCAGUUGAUACUGGCAUCCUUGAGUACAGUAGAGGUAGGCGGAAUUCGUGGUGUAGCGGUGAAAUGCUUAGAUAUCACGAAGAACUCCGAUUGCGAAGGCAGCCUGCUGGACUGUAACUGACGCUGAUGCUCGAAAGUGUGGGUAUCAAACAG
This 417-nucleotide ribosomal RNA is filed under the name uncultured bacterium. Its description in RNAcentral is "bacterial SSU rRNA". It matches the Rfam family "Bacterial small subunit ribosomal RNA", at positions 361 to 775 of the family's 1533-position model. The record is from RNAcentral.